Molecule: ribosomal RNA, 748 nt
Filed under: Variovorax paradoxus
Lineage: Bacteria; Pseudomonadati; Pseudomonadota; Betaproteobacteria; Burkholderiales; Comamonadaceae
Description: bacterial SSU rRNA
Rfam family: Bacterial small subunit ribosomal RNA
Source: RNAcentral
UCGAACGGCAGCGCGGGAGCAAUCCUGGCGGCGAGUGGCGAACGGGUGAGUAAUACAUCGGAACGUGCCCAAUCGUGGGGGAUAACGCAGCGAAAGCUGUGCUAAUACCGCAUACGAUCUACGGAUGAAAGCAGGGGAUCGCAAGACCUUGCGCGAAUGGAGCGGCCGAUGGCAGAUUAGGUAGUUGGUGAGGUAAAGGCUCACCAAGCCUUCGAUCUGUAGCUGGUCUGAGAGGACGACCAGCCACACUGGGACUGAGACACGGCCCAGACUCCUACGGGAGGCAGCAGUGGGGAAUUUUGGACAAUGGGCGAAAGCCUGAUCCAGCCAUGCCGCGUGCAGGAUGAAGGCCUUCGGGUUGUAAACUGCUUUUGUACGGAACGAAACGGCCUUUUCUAAUAAAGAGGGCUAAUGACGGUACCGUAAGAAUAAGCACCGGCUAACUACGUGCCAGCAGCCGCGGUAAUACGUAGGGUGCAAGCGUUAAUCGGAAUUACUGGGCGUAAAGCGUGCGCAGGCGGUUAUGUAAGACAGUUGUGAAAUCCCCGGGCUCAACCUGGGAACUGCAUCUGUGACUGCAUAGCUAGAGUACGGUAGAGGGGGAUGGAAUUCCGCGUGUAGCAGUGAAAUGCGUAGAUAUGCGGAGGAACACCGAUGGCGAAGGCAAUCCCCUGGACCUGUACUGACGCUCAUGCACGAAAGCGUGGGGGAGCAAACAGGAUUAGAUACCCUGGUAGUCCACGCCCUA